Molecule: long non-coding RNA, 260 nt
Filed under: Elaeis guineensis (African oil palm)
Lineage: Eukaryota; Viridiplantae; Streptophyta; Magnoliopsida; Arecales; Arecaceae
Description: long non-coding RNA (EGUI_LNC003695)
Source: RNAcentral
GGGUGGGUCGAGCGGAGAAGGAGAAAGCAAAGGGAGGAGGUCGCCGGUCGCGGAUGGAGGAGGAGGCAGAGGGGCCGAUCUUGGGCGGUUGGGCCUAUUCACCGGAGAUUUGAAAAAAAAAAAGAGGGUUAGCGUCGUUUACUCACCGGAGGCUUCGUCGUCCUCAUCGGCCCGUCCCUAAUCUCCGUUCACUGCCACCGCUGCCGAUUUGGUCAUCGAGGAAGGAGAAGACGCCAACGGGGUUUGAACAUGGGAAGCCG